RNAcentral lists this ribosomal RNA (516 nucleotides) under Anomala megalia. Its description in RNAcentral is "eukaryotic LSU rRNA". It matches the Rfam family "Eukaryotic large subunit ribosomal RNA", at positions 666 to 1138 of the family's 3401-position model. Lineage: Eukaryota; Metazoa; Arthropoda; Insecta; Coleoptera; Scarabaeidae. The record is from RNAcentral.
CCAAGGAGUCUAGCAUGUGCGCGAGUCAUUGGGACUCUAACGAAACCUAAAGGCGCAAUGAAAGUGAAGGUUCGCCACGCGCGAACCGAGGGAGGAUGGACGGUCGAUCGUGGCCGCCCCGCACUCCCUGGGCGUCUCGUUCUCAUCGCGAGAAGAGGCGCACCAAGAGCGUACACGCUGGGACCCGAAAGAUGGUGAACUAUGCCUGGUCAGGACGAAGUCAGGGGAAACCCUGAUGGAGGUCCGUAGCGAUUCUGACGUGCAAAUCGAUCGUCGGAACUGGGUAUAGGGGCGAAAGACUAAUCGAACCAUCUAGUAGCUGGUUCCCUCCGAAGUUUCCCUCAGGAUAGCUGGCGCUCGCUUCUCGCGAGUCUCAUUCGGUAAAGCGAAUGAUUAGAGGCAUUGGGGUCGAAACGGCCUCAACCUAUUCUCAAACUUUAAAUGGGUGAGAUCUCCGGCUUGCUUGAACUGUGAAGCCGCGAGAUAUCGGAUCAGAGUGCCAAGUGGGCCACUUUU